This 744-nucleotide long non-coding RNA is filed under the name Heterocephalus glaber (naked mole-rat). RNAcentral's name for it is "lncRNA (ENSHGLG00000039607.1)". Lineage: Eukaryota; Metazoa; Chordata; Mammalia; Rodentia; Bathyergidae. The record is from RNAcentral.
GUUGCAUGGAGGGAAGACACAGAGGGGUGAUGCUGCAAUGCAGAGUCAAGUCAGAGCAGCAGAGCUGUAGAGAAAAGAAUAGGCGUGCUACUUGUGAGCAUCACAUCGUCUCUUCAGAGACAUUAGGGCAAGUGUCUUACUAGAGGUCACAAAAGGGCAUUCCAACAUGGGUGGUUUUAUGAUCACUGGCAAGUAAGAGUCAGUCUUGAGCCCAGGCCAGUACUAGCCCAGGAGAUAACAAGCCAGAUAACAAAGAUAUGAAAGGGCAAUUCCUACCCAAAGACAAUAUGUGAGGCAGUGAGUGAUGCAAUGGGCAUUUUUCCAGGAAAGGAAAGACCACGGUGAGUCCUGGACUGUGCUUGAGCUGGGCUGUUCCUGAGAUGGAGAGGCUUGCACUGAAGAGGCCUGAAUGGAGCAGAGACACCUACCUUGCCUGAGCCUUGGGUGUGUUCAGCUUCCAGAAGGGACUUUGUGCUUCUCACUGCUGUGCAGUAUUCCACUGUCACCCCCAAAGCCUCAUGCACUCUGAGGUGAGGCUUGUGGAAGGUGGUUGGAUUGAGAGGACACUACAGCUGACUUAGUGUUAGGAGAUGGGCCCUGAUCAGAAGAGGAGUCAUUGUGAGUAUGACCUGGAAGUGUGUACCCCCCACCCCCCGCUCCUCCCUUCUCUCUGCUUCCUGGCCACUAUGAGGUGAACAGCUUGUCCUCUACCAUGUCUCUCCGUCACGCUGUCCUGCCUUGGAG